CCUACGGGUGGCAGCAGUGGGGGAUAUUGCACAAUGGGGGAAACCCUGAUGCAGCGACGCCGCGUGAGGGAAGAAGGAUUUAGGUAUGGAAAGCUCUAUCAGCAGGAAAGAAAAUGACAGUACCUGACCAAGAAGCCCAGGCGAACUACGUGCCAGCAGCCGCGGUAAUACGUAGGGGGCAAGCGUUAUCCGGAUUUACUGGGUGUAAAGGGAGCGUAGGCGGUUUGGUAAGUCUGUAGUGAAAGCCCCGGGCCUAACCCCGGAACUGCCUUGGAAACUGUGGAACUGGAGUACAGGAGGGGCAGGCGGAAUUCCUGGUGUAGCGGUGAAAUGCGUAGAUAUCAGGCAGAACACCGACGGCGAAGGCAGCCCACUAGACUAUAACUGACGUUGAGGCUCGAAAGCGUGGGGAGCAAACAGGAUUAGAUACCCGGGUAGUC
Molecule: ribosomal RNA, 440 nt
Filed under: uncultured bacterium
Lineage: Bacteria
Description: partial 16S ribosomal RNA
Rfam family: Bacterial small subunit ribosomal RNA
Source: RNAcentral